AAGCUUCACAUCCUCUACAAACCUUUUGAAAUCUCUCUCUCUCUCUCUCUCUCUCUCUCUGCUUUUAUACAUACCACAUACCAUACACACCAACAACAACGAAACAUCAUCAUGAAAUCCUUCAUGCUUUUCCUAAUGCUUGCCAUGCUAAUGGCUUCAGCCAUCACUACUCUUUCUGCGAUACCUGACGAAGAAGAAUCAUUCUUCAACGAGGAAAACAAUAAUGAUGCAAAUGACGAAACCAAAAGCCAGUUGGAAAAAAGUACUUCUCUGAGGGGAAGAAGCCGCUUCCUUGCCUCCCGGCCUCCUGCAAUGACUUGCGACAGAUACCCUAAGGUUUGUCGGGCUUCGGGCAGCGCAGGGCCAGAUUGCUGCAAGAAGAAGUGUGUGGACAGGAACACAGACAGAGCAAACUGUGGCAAGUGUGGGAGGAAAUGCAAGUACGCAGAGAUAUGCUGCAAAGGUAAGUGCGUGAAUCCGAGGUCGGACAAGAAAAACUGCGGCAGCUGCAACAACAAGUGCAAGAAAGGCAGCUCAUGUGCGUAUGGGAUGUGCAGCUAUGCAUGAACGCACCAGAUCACUGCUACUCGAUCGAUAAGGAGGAUAUUGCAAUAUAAUUAUUAAUUGUGCAGCUAUACUUUGAUAAUUUUAUUUGUUUUAUUAAGCUCAGCUAUAUUACCUGAAAAUAGUAGCUAGGCUCUAUCUAUGAAUUUGUGUACGUGUGUGUAAGUGCAAGAAUAAGGGCUAGCCAAUUAAUUGUUUAUUAAUUUAUUAUUAUUUUCUCUUAUUAUAUUGUAAGG
This 800-nucleotide long non-coding RNA is filed under the name Prunus dulcis (almond). RNAcentral's name for it is "sRNA ncRNA". The record is from RNAcentral. Lineage: Eukaryota; Viridiplantae; Streptophyta; Magnoliopsida; Rosales; Rosaceae.